GACUGCGGAGGAUCAUUAUCAAAAAUAAUUCAUUAUUUUUUGAAAUCUUUUUCCNAUUUCCCUUGUCUAUCUACUCCAUGUUGCUUCCACUAGACAGGUAUAUAUUAUUAAAAAUUGGAUUAAAAAUCUAAUUUUCAAUAAUAUUUGCCCUUUAAUUCCUUAACGGGGUUGAAGAAUAGUCGGUGGAUAGCCUUUAUUAAGAUAAAAACUUUUUUUUUAAAAACAUAGUCUGAUUAAACUAGUAUUUGUUUUAAAUAAAAAAAAAACUUUCAACAACGGAUCUCUAGGCUCUUGCAUCGAUGAANAACGCAGUGAAAUGUGAUAAGUAAUGUGAAUUGCANAAUCUCGUGAAUCAUUGAAUCUUUGAACGCACAUUGCGCCCAAUGGUAUUCCACUGGGCAUACCUGUUUGAGUGUCAAAAGCCUCAUACUUAUCA
Molecule: unclassified non-coding RNA, 436 nt
Filed under: uncultured fungus
Lineage: Eukaryota; Fungi
Description: sequence contains ITS1, 5.8S rRNA gene
Rfam family: 5.8S ribosomal RNA (bases 265-418)
Source: RNAcentral